UAGGUCUGCAGAAGGGUUGCUGAUGAGGGCGGUUGCCGAUGAGAAGACAGCUGUAUAUGGCUAAGUCCAUGGAUGGUGAUGUGUUUAUGCCGAUGGCUAGGGUUAACUGUUGCUGAUUGGGAGUAUGCCGACGACAUGGAAGGAAGAUUUGAAGGUUGCCGAUUGAUCCGUGGUGGUGUCCCAGUUUGUCACGGAAGGAUAGUUUUAUGUUUUUCUUAGUUAUUUGAAUCGUUUUGUACACGGAUUUUGUUU
Molecule: long non-coding RNA, 252 nt
Filed under: Sorghum bicolor (sorghum)
Lineage: Eukaryota; Viridiplantae; Streptophyta; Magnoliopsida; Poales; Poaceae
Description: long non-coding RNA (SBIC_LNC000967)
Source: RNAcentral